RNAcentral lists this long non-coding RNA (453 nucleotides) under Anas platyrhynchos platyrhynchos (common mallard). Its description in RNAcentral is "lncRNA (ENSAPLG00000019746.1)". Lineage: Eukaryota; Metazoa; Chordata; Aves; Anseriformes; Anatidae. The record is from RNAcentral.
AUGCCUGAUUUGUCUGUGCUGCAUCAGGAUAUUAGGUCCAUGCUAAAGCCCUAUGAGUGCUCUCUCCCACCAGGCUCCAGAGCUGAGUCCAUCUUUGUGCUUGAGAAAGAACCAUGCAUUUGCAACAGGUCCCCUCUGUGCUUAGGUGGUAGGUUAAAUAAUUUCUGUGUGUCUGCCUCAUUCUUUUUUUUUUUUUUCCUUCUCUUUUUCUCCUUUUUUUUUUUUUUUUUUUUUUUCUCCAGAGAGCAACCCCAAAUGUGUGUUGCCUGUUUAGAGUGGCCCCACAGCAGCAUGUGCAAGUCUGCCCUGUGCAUGGGAGGUUGGAGGACAGCAGUUAGUCUCUGUGAGAAGUGCACAGAAGCUCCAGUUUCCUGUCUAAUGCCGGCUGAGGAAUUACCAACAGCUUAUCGCCCCAGCAAGUUUUUAAGUGAUGCGGAAUGCCAUUUACUGUGA